This 75-nucleotide transfer RNA is filed under the name Lentzea sp. NBRC 105346. RNAcentral's name for it is "tRNA-Leu". It matches the Rfam family "tRNA". From Rfam's summary of the family: Transfer RNA (tRNA) molecules are approximately 80 nucleotides in length. Their secondary structure includes four short double-helical elements and three loops (D, anti-codon, and T loops). Lineage: Bacteria; Bacillati; Actinomycetota; Actinomycetes; Pseudonocardiales; Pseudonocardiaceae. The record is from RNAcentral.
GGGGUCGUAGCCCAAUUGGCAGAGGCACUGGAUUUAGGUUCCAGCCAGUGGGGGUUCGAGUCCCCCCGACCCCAC